This 653-nucleotide ribosomal RNA is filed under the name Metabacillus mangrovi. RNAcentral's name for it is "bacterial SSU rRNA". It matches the Rfam family "Bacterial small subunit ribosomal RNA", at positions 126 to 763 of the family's 1533-position model. Lineage: Bacteria; Bacillati; Bacillota; Bacilli; Caryophanales; Bacillaceae. The record is from RNAcentral.
CUGCCUGUAAGACUGGGAUAACUCCGGGAAACCGGGGCUAAUACCGGAUAACCCUUCGGACCUCAUGGUCCGGAGUUGAAAGACGGUUAUGCUGUCACUUACAGAUGGGCCCGCGGCGCAUUAGCUAGUUGGUGAGGUAACGGCUCACCAAGGCGACGAUGCGUAGCCGACCUGAGAGGGUGAUCGGCCACACUGGGACUGAGACACGGCCCAGACUCCUACGGGAGGCAGCAGUAGGGAAUCUUCCGCAAUGGACGAAAGUCUGACGGAGCAACGCCGCGUGAGUGAAGAAGGUUUUCGGAUCGUAAAACUCUGUUGUUAGGGAAGAACAAGUACGAGAGUAACUGCUCGUACCUUGACGGUACCUAACCAGAAAGCCACGGCUAACUACGUGCCAGCAGCCGCGGUAAUACGUAGGUGGCAAGCGUUGUCCGGAAUUAUUGGGCGUAAAGCGCGCGCAGGCGGUCUUUUAAGUCUGAUGUGAAAGCCCCCGGCUCAACCGGGGGAGGGUCAUUGGAAACUGGAGGACUUGAGUGCAGAAGAGGAGAGCGGAAUUCCACGUGUAGCGGUGAAAUGCGUAGAGAUGUGGAGGAACACCAGGUGGCGAAGGCGGGCUCUCUGGUCUGUAACUGACGCUGAGGCGCGAAAGCGUG